RNAcentral lists this ribosomal RNA (258 nucleotides) under uncultured bacterium. RNAcentral describes it as "partial 16S ribosomal RNA". It matches the Rfam family "Bacterial small subunit ribosomal RNA", at positions 524 to 776 of the family's 1533-position model. The record is from RNAcentral.
UACGGAGGGUGCAAGCGUUAUCCGGAUUCACUGGGUUUAAAGGGUGCGUAGGUGGGCAGGUAAGUCAGUGGUGAAAUCCUGUAGCUUAACUACAGAACUGCCAUUGAUACUAUUUGUCUUGAAUACCCUGGAGGUGAGCGGAAUAUGUCAUGUAGCGGUGAAAUGCUUAGAUAUGACAUAGAACAUCUAUUGCGAAGGCAGCUCACUACGGGGAAAUAUUUGACGCUGAGGCACGAAAAGCGUGGGGGAUCAAACAGG